Molecule: long non-coding RNA, 598 nt
Organism: Oreochromis aureus
Lineage: Eukaryota; Metazoa; Chordata; Actinopteri; Cichliformes; Cichlidae
Source: Ensembl
GGACAAUUUAAAGGAGUUUCUUAUAAAAUACUACAGAACUUUAAAAUUUAGAGACGAAGCCAAGAAGACACUGCAGAGGUUUCAGCCUGAUGUGAACUGUUCUGCUUCUUUCUCCGGAUCCAUCACCCGCUUACCUGUCAGCUGUUUUUGAAGCCACAUUUCCGGGAUCACUACGGAGAUCAAUCACAGCGUUUCUCCCACAUCCCGAGACUCCUCGCCCGAGCCUGUACAGCCAGUGUGACAAAUCCACCCUGCGUGCGCGGGUAACCCCUUUCCCUCCGAAUGCGUGUCAGCCUCCUGCCCUGGUUUCCCUCUGUUUAUUCAUCAGUAUUAUCUCAUCCCGUGUAAAUAAGUUUGACACAGUAAAUAAAGAGCACUCCCUGCAUUUUCUGCGCUUCUGUGUAUUCUGCCAUAGAGUCCGUUCACUCAGCAUAACAAUAGAGGUGUAGUUUAUGUCUGUGAACAGUGAACACCCGUGUGCACACCUGUGUGGAUCAGCCCGCUUGUAUUCAAAAGGUUUCCCCAUGUAAUGCUCUGCUAGAGGGUGUAGAGGGCCAUAGCCCCGCCAUAGCUGGACUGGCGAUUGGCGAUUUUUUGU